AAGGGUUCAGAUGAGGAUCUGAUGAAAAGGGAAGCGGGGUGAAAAUCCCCCACAGCAGCCACUACUGUAAUUGCGGACAAGAAACGAAGGAACCACUGCCUUUGGCGGGAAGGUGUUUUGCGGAUGAAGCAGAAGUCAGGAGACCUGCCUUUAUAAU
RNAcentral lists this non-coding RNA (157 nucleotides) under uncultured Marvinbryantia sp. Lineage: Bacteria; Bacillati; Bacillota; Clostridia; Lachnospirales; Lachnospiraceae. The record is from RNAcentral.